UGAUUUUGGAAGAGAGAAAAGCCAACGU
This 28-nucleotide non-coding RNA is filed under the name Mus musculus (house mouse). The record is from RNAcentral. Lineage: Eukaryota; Metazoa; Chordata; Mammalia; Rodentia; Muridae.